This 550-nucleotide ribosomal RNA is filed under the name uncultured Glomus. RNAcentral's name for it is "SSU rRNA". It matches the Rfam family "Eukaryotic small subunit ribosomal RNA", at positions 549 to 1098 of the family's 1831-position model. The record is from RNAcentral. Lineage: Eukaryota; Fungi; Glomeromycota; Glomeromycetes; Glomerales; Glomeraceae.
UGGAGGGCAAGUCUGGUGCCAGCAGCCGCGGUAAUUCCAGCUCCAAUAGCGUAUAUUAAAGUUGUUGCAGUUAAAAAGCUCGUAGUUGAAUUUCGGGAUUUGUCAGUUGGUCGGGCUUCCCUGUCCGUAUUGACUUGAUGGAUUCUUACCUUCUGAAUAACCAGCAUGCUAUUAAGUUAGUGCGUUGGGGAAGCAGAUCUAUUACCUUGAAAAAAUUAGAGUGCUUAAAGCGAGCUAGUGCUUGAAUAGAUUAGCAUGGAAUAAUAAAAUAGGACGGCAUGGUUCUAUUUUGUUGGUUUCUAGGAUCACCGUAAUGAUUAAUAGGGAUAGUUGGGGGCAUUAGUAUUCAAUUGUCAGAGGUGAAAUUCUUGGAUUUAUUGAAGACUAACUUCUGCGAAAGCAUUUGCCAAGGAUGUUUUCAUUAAUCAAGAACGAAAGUUAGGGGAUCGAAGACGAUCAGAUACCGUCGUAGUCUUAACCAUAAACUAUACCGACUAGGAAUCGGACGAUGUUAAUUUUAUAAUGACUCGUUCGGCACCUUACGGGAAAC